Molecule: long non-coding RNA, 13598 nt
Filed under: Nicotiana benthamiana
Lineage: Eukaryota; Viridiplantae; Streptophyta; Magnoliopsida; Solanales; Solanaceae
Description: long non-coding RNA (NBEN_LNC008339)
Source: RNAcentral
GCAUGCUCAACAAACAAUUGUUCAGUAUUACCAAAAUGCGCUAACUCAAUCCGAGAGUCGUGUUAACCUCAAGUGCAGCUUACCUUAAAAGAAAAAUCAACAGGCUCAUUAAAUCAGGUAAAGGGAAAAUACAUAAUAUACCAUCUUAAUGAGAUAUUAGGAUGUUAAAGGGAAAAUACAUAAUAUACCAUCUUAAUGAGAUAUUAGGAUGUUAAUAAUCAAAGCACAAAAAUGUACUGCACUAAAUAGCAGUAAAUAAAAGCAGUUCAAGCCAAUAAUGUCUCCAUCUGUUACUUUAAAGAAAAUCAUUGUUAUCAAAAAUAAGGACAUGGAAGAGUAACUAAUUGAUUGCAAACAAAAAUAGAAUCACAACAUAAUUCUCAAAACGACAAUGAUUAUGAGUACGAUUAGAAAAUAAAUCUCAAAACUACAAUGGUUGUGAGCUAUUUAUUAUUCGAAGUUAUGGUCGGGUCACAUGAAAUGUGCACCCAAAUUGGGAAAUUCUGUAUCACAACUACGCCACGGGAACCGUACCCAUAGUUGUGAUGAUUUAAUUACUCUCGCCUAAAGCAAAUAUAUGAAUGUUUAUAAGAAUUAUUUUUUCCAAACUUGUACGCGGAAAAAUAAGAAGGAUUGAUUUUUUGCUCUCAAAAUGCUACGAAGGCUUUUUCCUGAAGACCCCGAGGGUGGGAUGCCUCGACCGAGUGUGGGCCUCAAGGCUCGACGAAGUCCGACUCGAAGGAAGAAAGAUCCGAGAUCGGGAUAGAAGGAGAAGUCUCCUACGCACGUGACUACACCUGACAUGUCCAGCCUAUCUAUAGCCUAUUAUGAUGUUUCGUGUCAAGCCAUCCCAUCCUUGUACUCUCGUAGUCAACACAUGUGUAUUAUACCGAGUCCCCUCGCCUAUAUAAGGGGGACUCACCCUAACUUGUAGGGGACUAAUGUUGCUCCACUUCUCCACAAAUACAAUAAUCUCUCUCUCUCUCUCUCUCUCUCUCUCUCUCUCUCUCUCUCUCUCUCUCUCUCUUUCUUUUAAGAUAUUUAUCUCCAUCGACCUCGAGGUCGCUUUAGUACUUUAUUGUUUCAUCGUUUGUUCUUCAUUAUAUUUCUUAGUUUUGAUAGUAUAGAUCUUGGCUCAACUGUAUUAUACUUGCUAUCGCCUUCCCGACUAUCCUCGAUAAGCCCGAGAUAGGCUCGAGGCUCGGCUCCGAGGUACCUACUAGCUGGCUUUGCGCUUGGGAACGUCCCCUUACUGGUUCGAUUAUCGCUUUGUUUAACCCGAUCUCUAUCGCUUUACUUCACGUUUUAGCACUACUCACCCUCACAAGCUAGCUUGGGAAUAGAUUUUAUAUUUUUAGAAUCUCAUUUACAAAAUUAAUUAUUGUUACCAUUUUUAUGGCAAACAGUUUGGCGCCCACCGUGUGGCUAAAAAUAAUAGUAAUUAUUUUCUUGCUAGUUUCAUUACUUGAACACACAGUAUCUUUCACAAUUUUUUUGCCCAAGAUCUUUCUAUUUCAGGUGAAGGAUCGGCUUGAAAAGGGAAAUCAAGAACGACGACCCCAAAAAUCAUGAAGAGAGCGGUAUGGCCGUAAGACCUUGAUAACACAUCUAGAUCGGUUCAAGAAAAUGCAGAUCUACAUACCGUGCAGCAGGGUAACGAAGUCUUAGUCACUAAUGUAGGCAUGAAUCACGUCGACUAACAGGAAGCCCGAAUGAUCCCAGCUCGGGCAGAGCAGGAAGCUAACCUUCGUAUUAUUUUUGAAAUGUUGUUGGAACAACAUUUGGCUAUACUUAGCUAUAGAGUUGCCCGGAGACUCCCAGCGUGGCAGUACAUGAAAUACCCCCUCAUAUCGAACCAGUACUCGACGUAUUGCAGAAUGAUAUCAGUAAGGAUGAUGGAAGACCUUGUCGCAAAUAUUGAAUCAUGCUCAUGGAAACUCCUCCAACAACCACUGCCUGAAGGUAUGAUCCUGGGACUCACUUCGCGAAAGUCAGAAACAACGAAACCCCCAGGAGCGGAAGGACCUCAAGUCCUCAAGGAUGCAUCACCACUAACGCACGCCCUUCCAAGGACAACGACCUCCAAAAUGGAGAACUGAUCUGAGCCUACUCAGCACCACUAAAGAGUAGCGAGAGAGGGCCGCAGUAGCUUUUAACUAAUUUGUGUGUCGGGAUUGAUUUCCUCAAGGAGCUAGGAACGGAGUCGAGUAUCUAUUUAGGUUGGAAUUUCGUAUUUGUUCCAAUUGUCACUUCUAUUCAUUUUUGGUUUUUCUUUAUAUUCUACUAUGAUCAAACUACAAGUUAUAAUAUCAACUAAGUUAAACUAAGAGUAAAUUGUUACAAGAUGGUUCUAAUGGUUUAAAAGGCACUAGGGUAGUGACUGUUACCUAGUUGGCCAAUUGACGGGUAAUUUCAUCUAAGACAUGAUUAACAUAAUUGGUGAAUAUGUUAUAAUUUUUGCUCGAUACUGCCCACUCUACACCUCUCGGUAGAAAGAGUGGUUUUGCCUAAUUAACUUUCUCAAGACCAAUUGGGUAUGCAUAAUUGCCCAAGCAGCUAGGUUUCAAGUUGGGUAACUACUCUCUCGAGAUUUAACCCUUUAAUUGUGACUAUCAAAUCUCGUGAGUCUAUCCCAAUUCCUUGUUGAGUCAAUUUUGGAGACAUAGGUUCUCUUUCUCAAGAAGAACCCAAGUCAACUUAGUAAAAACUAGUGUUUGCAAUUACUAAUUCAUAAAUUAAACCAUAAAAUUGACCCAAAAAACAAAAACUCAUAGUCAAUCUAACCUUAAAUCAAAACACCCAUCAAUUACUCACACUAGCGUUGAGCCACAACCCUAGCUAAUAGGUCUAUCUACCCAUGCUUGAAGAUAAAAUCAGAGAAAUAGAUGAAGAGAAAGACAUGUUAAUUAAUUACUAAAGUAAAUACAAAGAUUCAACGAUUAAAUCUACAUAAAAGUGCCCAAAAUGGCUACAAAAAGUCUUCUCACGAGCGCAGCUGAAGUCUGAUAAUAUCUAAUACCCUAAAAAUGGAAAAAUGUUCUAUUUAUACUAAGAUGGAAAAACUGGACAAAAAUGCCCCUGCGGGAUUCGUGCGGACCGCACAAAAUGAUGUACGGCCACACUAGGCUCUUGACUCUGCAAAUUCAACUAUCUGAACCCAAGCUCCGCAGACCGCAUAGAAUGAACCAUGGCCGUAGAGGCUUCUAAUGCGGUCCACGCUGAAUGGAGUGUGGACUGCACAGGCUUCAUAUUCUGAACUUUGCAUCUCUCUGAAGUUUGGUUUUGCGGAUCACACAUAAUGGUAGUGCGGCCGCGGUGCCUUCAGUGCGGUCCGCACAAUAUCUACUCUAGUCGCACUACCUUGAUGCCUGAAAAUCCAUGCUUCAAAGAAGGUUAUUUUGGCUUAUCCACAACAAGAAACCUCUCCAUAAAAUACAUCCCAAAACACUCGGAGACUUAAAGCAACUUGGCAUCCACCCUAUCUAUGGGUCGGUAUUCCAGGCUCAUGAAGCCCUCACAAACGCAACACCGGUUUCGCAACAAACUAUCUUCAAGCUUGAGCAGAAUUUGGUGUUUCGGUAAAUCAUCUCCAACCGCAAUGUACUGGAAGUCAAAAAUUGUAAGACCCUAACGGGUCGCCUCAUCAUAGCCAAAUAUAUUCUCCAUACACUGUUAGACCUCAAGAGCCAUGGAAAACUGUAAGACCUCAACAAGCAUGAAAGAUCCCGCAGUCUAGGCCAUAUGUCGCAUUUGUAAGAAUCCCUAAAGGGCAUACCCUCGGUGUAGAUGCCUAGAACUACUUCUCGGGAUCAAAAUGCCUCGGCCAAAUGCACAUGACUCCGAUUAUAACGGCUAUUACAACCCAAAAACACGUCUCGUGGAUGCCCGACUCGCUAAAAAAUCAUCCAAAUCUACUUCGGAAAGAACCCGUUAAAAAAGGCUUUCCAUAAUAGGAGAAAAAUAUAAGUCCUGACCACAUCGGCUCAGAAAUCGCAAAAGCGUUGAUCUACUUUACCUAUGAGCUAUGAACCUUACAAGGUGCUCAAAACAUCACCGACUAUGACUUGAAAUCGAGGUUCUUUUAGAACUGACGACGGAUAAGGCAAACACAUUCAAUAAGACCUUAACAAGAGGAAACAAAGCCUACAAAGAGCCUCCAUGCCUCAUAUCGAAAUGUCUCCACGACCAAACAACGUAAAUGCAUCGCCGGCUAAGCACAUCUCCGGGCCUCACAUCGAAAGGUCUCUAUGACCAAACAGCGUAAGAGCCAUUGUCCGGAUUGAAAAUUGACAACUUGAGGAUUACAGUGAUCUCAAAUCGUAAACCAACUCAGAGAUCGGAUAAAAAAUAGUUAAGUAAGCAGAGCCUUCGGGUCUCAUACUAAAAGUUCUCAACAAUCAAGCAAUAGAAAACCAUCAUCACUGGCAGAAAAAGAUUCGAGGAUUGAUUACAGCUCGAGUUGCAACACGACUCGAAGACUGGGCCCUGAAAUUAUAACAUGCUUGAGGGCAUGACAUCGAUAUUAUUAUCGCCAACCCCAAUCUUCGAAAAUAUCAAGGGUCGAUUGCAGCUUGAAUCUUAAUACGACUCGAAGACUAGGCCCUAAAAUUAACCAAAAGGCUAAGGGCAAAAAAUGAAAACCAUUUUCGCCAGCCCGCGCAGACCAAAGGAAUAUCGAGCUCAAGUCAGAUCCCAACUCGGGGAUUGAGCACAGGGACGAUUCAAUCACGAUACGCUUAAAGGUACAGCCUAAUCAAUGUUAUCUACGGUCAAGAAAAAUCUCUAGGUUGUGCGCCCCCUAAAUCGCUUCAGCCUGGGAGCACAAAGGGUCAUCACCCUCUACCUAUGAAGGUAGGAAAGAUCUGGGAGGCCGAUCGAAGUUAAAUCCAUAGCGCAACUCGAGGACUAGUUCCAAAACGGUCUUCACGAUCGAGCGAAACAACAGAAAAACUACAAAGGGAAUAAAAUCUUUAAAAGAAUUUCUUCUUAUAUUAUAUGCAAUAAAGAACAUUCUCCACUUACAGGCAUGCCCUGCGCGCAUCGAAAACAUAAUUACAAAACAACAAAGCUCAUAUUUUGCGCCAAAGGGAUACAACUUGCUAAGAUCUCCCUCUGCAACGUCUACAAGGAGCGAUCAAGCGUCAUACAAAGACACCCUUGCUUGAGCCAAUUCCUGCGAGAGAAUGAAGCCCCUCGCUCCAGCCUCCUCAAAUACCUCUCUCUAAGAUCUGCAGCGAACAUAUUCCUCGAUUAUGUUCUCACGAUCAAGGGCUAGCCUCAACUAAGAUUGAGCAUCGGCAGUUUCCUUUAUGCACAUCUCCAUCUCGCGCUCAGCCCUGGUUAGGCUUAAUGCCACUUCCACCCGGGCAUCGGUUAUCUUGGCCCUGACCUUCGAGAGAUCAGACUUUAGCUUUUCAAUCAUAUCCGCCCGAACUUUGGCGUUAUCAUGGGUCAAGGUGAGUUGAACCUCAAGGGUAGGGAUCCUAGACGAAGCACUCAUUUCAUCUAGGGUUUGAGUAUGCACUUGAGCUCUUAUAUCCUCGCAAGCGGCCCUGACGCGGCUCACGCUGCUCUUAAGGUACUCGAAGGCCUCUGUCUUUUUCUGCAACUAAUAUGGAAAGAAGAAAUUAGCCAUGGAGUUAGAAAGAAGCAAAAAAACGCACUACAGGGAGUUACCUAUUCCAUCAAAUAACUCUGAUAGUUUGAGCUCCGAUACGCCUCGUAUCGCCAAUACUGCAGCUCGACUUUCUUCUCCUUGCAAAGAAGCUUAAUGGAUUCUCCUUCAUCUAGGAUCCUUUAAAAUUUGGCCUUUUGACAAAGCAUCUCGGAUUUAGGCCUAUCACAGGCUUGUGCAGGGAAGAUUCGGUGAGAGGAGCAAGAUGCGUGAUACAGGAAAACUAGGCACAAACUCACCGCAAAGUGAAGACGUCAGAUUUCCUCAAGAUCAGAACAUGCUCCAGAUAGUCCUGCCCCAACAGCCUUAGAAGACCGGGCCCCGGGCAAAACGCGCUCGCCCAAGGGAGCCAUUUGCUGAGGAACAGGCGCUCCAGGAACAGCCAACUUAGGCGGCACCCUGUCAAAAAAAAUACGAACCCAGUCAGCACCACUAAAGGAUCCCUUGUAUUGUGGGCUCCGGUCUAUGUUGUUGUUGCCAUUUCUCGGCCCAGAGCCAUCUCACCUCUGAAAAAGCGAUGCCUCGCCCCAGGGAACUGCCCGACAUCUACAAGAAGUGGACCCAACACAAAUGAGAUGGGGAAAUGUUAUCUCGAGUAUACUCCAGCAGGAAAAAAGCAAAAUACGCACAUACCUCGGUGUUUCACUCCCCACCUAACGUAAGACAUAGCUCACCCCCUGUGUUUGUUGCAACAUAAAUAGGUCACCAACCUCCUUACCCAACCAAGAAAAUCAUGAACUUGGCCUGGCGUCCGUGAAGACAGUGUAACAAGACAAAUGGCAUUGUUAUUUGGCUGAUUUUUUCCAUGAGAAAAAUAUGAAAGAGAGAUAAAAGGUCUCACUUACGUGCUUGAUUCCACCCCUCGGGGAAUGGAAGGAACUCCACUGGGAUAAUAUCGGCCGUCUGAACCCGUACGAACCAACUAGCCCACUCUCGAUCUCCGCCCUCGUCCUCAUCAACAACAAAGGGCUUGGGAGAAUGACCCCUCAGAGUUAGCAGGCCUCAAUGAUGGAAGGGUCGAUAUAGCCUAAUGAGAUGAUCAAACAUGAACUCGAGCCUGGAUUUCUCCGCGAAAAAUCUCAUCAUCAGCACUGUUCACCAAAACGACGGAUGAACCUACGCCAAGGUAACCCGAUACUUCAAGAAAAAAUCAAUCACAACCCUAUCAGGAGGGAUGAAUGCAAAGGGGUAUAGGUGCACAUUCGAAAACCCAUCGGCGGAAUCUGCGACGCCUUCACCUGGGGAAAGCACAUGCAGAGUCACCCUUUUGCCCCAUCCGCAAUAUCGUCUCACCAUCUCCAGGUAUCCCUCUUCUAUCAAGGACGCCGUCUCCAGAAUAAAUCUUUCAGCUCCCCAAUGUCACGAACAACAUUCUCCGCCCUUUGCCAUGUCGGUUCCGAGGUGGUCGCCAUGGCCAUGGUAGAGCUGACAAAAUAAAUCAAAGGUACGCUCCAAUACUUUUGCGCCUAGGAAUAUGCAGUCCCCUGUACAGAAACGGGAAAGCGACUAUGUGAAAAUAGUGGAGCCUUGCAGAAAAGCCGAGGCCACUCCACAUAUAUACAAAAAAUGGUGAUGAUUCACCUAUCCAAAACAAGCCUCGGGAGGCCCGCGGCCUCAAUACUGAACGAUCGAUUAAUACCCGGCCAAGGGAAUACCCUCCAACUAACGACAUAGCUAGAGGUGUCGCACGAAUAAUCUCCACGUUCGAGGCAACAUUUCACACUUGGAGCCUUGGUCCCGAGACAGGGCCACGAUAAGCUCCAAAUCACUGAUACCCGGCACAAAGCGAGUGCCUGGGCUUGCGAUCCCUUCUAUAAGGGAGUAAAAUCUAGGAAGCCCCGAUCGUCAAAGCUCCACGAGGUCCCGAAAGAGGUGCCCAAGCAUAGAAAAAAUUCCUCAAAUGGAAAACAACCUUACACUAUCUGAAAAAGUUAUCUACAUCAAAAUCAACAGAGCCUAGAGCCCACCGGGGCGUCAGAAGAUGAUCCGCAUCCAAUGUAGCAUUACCGAAAGCCCUGAGAUUCGAGGCACUUUCUCCAAAGAAAUUAUCACACGCUGAUAGCUUUACCUUAUCCAGUCUAUCCUCCAUUGAUCUGAAGUACAACAAAAGGAUCGGAUGAGAGCCUUGUGUAAGACCCCGUGAAAAUGAGUGCUCAAGUCUUAGCAACUAAUAGAGUCAGUUCCAUCGAUGUGUCAAAAUCCUUUUCUUCUGAUUUUAUACUGAAAAAUCGAGAGUCAAAUUUUUUCGGAAAAAUGUCAUUAUACAAUCAGGAAUGCGGUCGCAGACCAGUUAUGCGGACCGCAUAUCGAUCACAGAAUGAAUUGGAGAAUAGCUAAAUUGGAUGUUGAAAAUGCGGUCCAUUAUGUGAUCGCAUAACAAAUAUGCAGACCGCAUAUCGACCGUAUAGUGAAUCAGAGAGUAGCCAAAUUGGAUGUUGAAAAUUCGUCCAUUAUGCGAUCGCAUAACCAAUAUGCGGACCGCAUAGUCGUCACAUAAAUUUCUCGAGGAUUUGUGGAGGUCAAUUCUGCGGUGCGAUCUGCGACCGCAGAACGUGCAUCCGGAUUGCAUUCUCACUGCAUACCUAAACAGAGAGGUCAACAAUUUGGGACCAUUAUGCGGUCCAAUCUGCGGACCGCAAGUCAACUAUGCGAUCGCAUAGUUGACCGCAGAUCCGUCGGGAACAUUAAUUUUCUAUUUAAACCCGACACUUUUCUAAUAAAACACCCAUACCCCUCAUUUUUACUCAUUAUCUAAAUAAAACAAGAGAGAUGGAAGAGAGAGUUCUUGAGAGAGAAAGGAAUUUCCAUCAAAUUGAUCCUCCAAAACCAUCCGGGUCGGAAAAUUUUAAGUUAUUGUCUUUAUGCCCACUCUUACAGGUAAAGUCCCUAACCCUUUUCCCCGAUUUUUCUGAUUUAAGCUAAGGGAAGGGAGUCUUAUGCUUUAAUUUUGAACUAACAACUGAAAACCCUCAUGCAUGUGGCUCAAACCUAGAAUCUAGUGAAGGAAAAAUUAGAUAAGAGUAUAGGGUUGUGCUAAAUAGCUUGGUGACUGAUAAAUAGGAACAUAAAAAGAGAAUUCGACUCCAGGUAUGUAUGGCUAACCUUGAUUCUUGUGAAAUCGCCUUGCUUGGUAUGUAAAUUUUUUGGAAAUUGAUAUCUAUGUUGGUUAGUUAUGAGCUUCUUGACUGAUUGAUUGUGAAUGCACCUUGUGGUAAAAGUUGAAUAAUAAGUGAUUGAAGGAAUCCGUAAAUGGUGAAACGAGGCUAUUUGUGAUAACAAUGCACUCAAAAUAUUGUGGGCAAUGGUGGUAACUUGAAAUGAGUACGAAUUGUUGAAAGUCAUGAAAUUGGUACUAAUAGUUGUGGAAACACUUGUAACACUAUUGUGAUAAUGUCUUGAGGUGUACUUGUUUGUAUUUGUGACUUGCUAUUUGGUUGUGUUUGUUAUGAAUUGAGACUGUACGGCGGGGUCGGGUUGCGCGCCGCAACACGGUGUAAUAAGGUGUGGGUUGGUGUGAUAAUGGUGGCCGAGGUAAUAAGGAUGGAAAAAGUGAUCGAAAUAACUAUUGGUGUAUAUAUAUAUACACAUACACACACAUUGAACAAAAUUGUGAAAUCAAUGAUGUGGAAUUGUGAAAGGAGACAACAUGAUAGUUUGUAACCUGUGGGGCACUGAUUGCCCCUUUGUUUGUCUAAUUGUACCUCUAUGUGUGUUUGGUUGUUGCUUCUAUUGUUGUGUUCUUGUUCUAUUUGCAUAUUGCUUGAGUUUACUUGCGUCAAGUUUUGUUCAUACAUACCAGUACAAUUCAAAGUACUGACGUCCCUUUUGGCGGGGGCGCUACAUUCGUGUUAUGAUUGUAGGUGGAUCUUUGGCAUGUACUCCCGUCUACCGUCUUGGGUUUACUUGGGACAAGUUUUGUUCAUACAUGCCAGUACAAUUCAAGUAUACUAACGUCCCUUUUGCCGGGGGGCGCUACAUUCGUGUUAUGAUUAUAGGUGGAUCUUCAGCAGGCACUCCAUCCACCGUCUGUAGCUCUUCCUCAUUCCCCGCCAGCUGUAUUGGUGAGCCUCUUUCCUUUUGGGGACCGGUGUGGCUCACGCCACCCUUGUUCUUGUAUUUUGGAGUCUUAUUUUGGUUUUUAUAAAAAGGUAUAGCAGGAGCCUUGUUACCGGCAAGUAUAGUACUACCAUCUUGUAUCCUUAGAGGCUCUGUAGACAUGAAGUGUGGGUCACGAACCAUGUAUUAUGUACUUUGUACUCUAAGUAAUGUAAUUUGUAAACCACAUCAUAUCAUGUAUGUAUGUAUGGCUUGUUAAAAGGUAUUUCAAUCAUAAAUAGCUGUUUCCAUUUGGUUAAUAAAUAAUGAAAAUGUGGGGUAACUCGUGGGUCCGAAAAGGCACCCAGGUCCACUCGACUGGGAAUUCCCGGUUGAGUGCCGGUCAUGUCCCUAGAAUUUGGGGCGUGACACCUUGCCAGUUAGCUAGAGACCAUGGCAAGUCAUAAUUCGAAAAGCUAUGAUUUGAAGAGUCAUUCCCUCCAUCUCCUUGCUCGGAACAACACUCUCCGACAAGAAACCCCCGCCUAAAGAGGUCGAGCUUCAAUGAGCUCUCAACGAUCAGCACCUAGUGCGAGGCAAGCAACUGAUCCCACAAAUCACUCUCUCUAAAGGGGAAGUGUAACCGAUCGUGAAUGCUGCAGAAAGGCCCGAAGAGGCACCCAAACUACACAUGAACUCCUAAGAAGAAGUCCAUCUUAUAUGGUCCGGAGAGGCCAUAUACAUCAAGACUAGUAAGGAUCCCCGGUCACAAAAAGAUGGCUUACAUCUGGAGUAGCAUCCCCGGAACCCUCGAAAUUCGACACAUGAUUUCCAAAACAAACAAAAGGACCUUGAUAGCCCCGACCUAUCAGAUCAGUUUGACAUUGGUCCGAGGCUCGACGACAAAUCUAGAAGAAAACCAUGUCGACCGACAAAGGGUUGAGACAAACUCUCACGUCUAAAUUGAAUAUCAGCGAUUAGCAACAGAAAAAGAUACAUUAGAAAAGCCUUAAAGGGCAUGCAAACAUAUAGAAAACAUAGCCAAUUCAAAAGAAGAAAUCAACAAAGUUCAUUCCUUAUUUAUGAAACGUUCAAGUAUAAUGGCCCACGGGAGGUCGAUGCGUAAAAAUCAAAACCUCGCAAGAGUAUCCACUUGGGAAUAAAAAAGCAAAAAGAGUGCGCAACACAAGGGAAGUACGGGUCCAGAUAUCAAUGGCCGACAAUCCGGCUCUGUAUUGAUAAUUUCAAAAUCUGCCCUUCUUGGGUGCAUAGCCUUGAAGGAGAUAUCUCCAGAAUCGCCCUCGGGAGCUUUAACUCAGCUGUCCACUUUGACGCCGCCAAGACAGAGCAAACAGGGAGCAAGAAGUGAUGACGAAAUGCCACAGCUUCUCGAAGUUCGAGGAUCCUCUUUGGACAGGGAAACUUUGGAAAGACAACAGACCGAACGAUCCUCGGUCCCGUCCGCACGGCUACUUCAAAUACACUUCUUCGAGCAUCGAGUCGUGCGAGCCCCCAGCUCUAGAAAAAGUUCCACAUAGAGUUGGGGUACGAGGGUGAACAGGAUGCAUAGUCCGAACAUCCUUAUACGCAAAGGUGAAACCAACUCUCCACUCAUCACCGUCUCGAGCCAGCACUAGCAGCAGCGGCUAACAUGUCAACGGUCAUAGCAAUAUCAGGACAAUAUGUUUAUGACCGUCACGGAGUGGCCUUGAUGGAUGGCCUCGACGCGGCCCGAAAGAACUCCCCCAAGCAGCCUUAAGACAUGAAGUUUCCGUUGUGAAGAUCAAAGGUAAAAGGAGAUGACGAGAAAGAUGAAGCAAGGCACGCCAGCGGAAGUAUGAAGAUAGAAGAAGCAAUGCCACAAAAUGCCAUCGUUUAUAAGGGGAAAAUGACAUGGUCAUCGAAGCCCUGGAAGCAGCGGGUGCACUUAUUGCUUCUUUGAAAAACUGAAAUGGCGGCCGAAUUUUUGCCUUGAGAAGCGAAAAUGACAAGGCAUCGAGCAGGCACCUGUAAAAUACGUCGUCGGUUGCAAAAGAUUGUGCCUUGAUCCAAAUCGCCAGCACAGUAUCGUUAGAGGGAGCUCAAGGGGUCAAUUGUUAGAAUCAUUUCCCAUCACUUCGUCAUGGAAAAUGCAGAGACUAUUUGUAUGCGACAAAAUUAAAAGGCUUGAGCUUUUGCUAUCAAGACGCUUCUAAGGCGUUUUCUUGAAGACCCCCAGGGUAGGAGGCCUCUACCGAGUGUGGGCCUCAGGGCUCGACGAAGUCCGACUUAAAGGAAGCAAGAUCCGAGGUCGGGGUAGAAGGAGAAGUCUCCUAGGCACGUGACUACACCUAACAUGUCAUGCCUAUCUAGAGCCUAUUAUGAUGUUUUGUGUCAAGCUAUCCCAUCCUUGUACUCUCGCAGUUAACACGUAUGUAUUAUACCGAAUCCCCUCGCAUAUAUAAGGGGGACCCACCCUACCUUGUAAGAGAUUGAUAUUGCUCCACUUCUCCAUAAAUGCAAUAAUGUCUCCAUCAACCUCGAGGUCGCUUUAGCACUUUAUUGUUUCAUCAUUUGUUCUUCAUUAUUUUGCUUAGUUUUGAUAGUAUAGAGCUUGGCUCAAAUGUAUUUUACUUGUUAUCCCCUUCCUGACUAUCCUCGAUAAGCCCGAGAUAGGCUCGAGGCUCGGUUCUGAGGUACCCAUUGGCUGGCUUUGCGCCCGAGGACUGUCCCAUUACUGGUUCCAUUAUCCGUUUGUUUGACUCGAUCUUUAUCACUUUACUUCACAUUUCAUAACUACUCACUCUCACAAACUAGCUCGGGAAUAUAUCACAAAUUUUUAGAAUUCCAUUUACAAAUUUAAUUGUUAUUACCAUUUUCACGGUAAACAAAACUAUUUUGAGAUUGAAUGUAAGGCUACUGGAUUAUGGACAUAAUAUUUGGAUAAGAAAAGUAAAAUUUUAGCUAAUAUGGCAAUUGGCAUGAUUAUCUACAUUAUAAUUAAUUAACGGGCUGACAUUGAAGGCACCUUGAAAUUGGGCGUUUAUUUUACCCAGAUUUCUCAAUAUACCUUAUUAACAUCAACUACAAUAAAUAAUUCCAAUUGCCUUUUAAAACUCAAAUGCAAACAAUCCCAUUCAAUUUUCAAAAGAUAAAUGGCCAAAUAUAGCAAGUCAAAUAAUGAACACAUGAAACUAAACAUGGAUGGCAAUAUUGAAUCAAGUCUCAUUUGCCUAAUUAAAAGGAAUUACAUGAAAGUCUUCACAUACCUAUUUAAAGCAAGAGAUCAACAUGAAGAGCCACAUAAAAAGCUUGAAACGGUCUAAUAUGGAGCUAAAAUGCAAAUAAAAAUCCAAAGCCACAACAAGGAGGGGCAACAACCAUCAGCAACUUCUUACCCUUCACAGCUCGAGAAUCCCAGGAAAAAUGUAGCAAAUUAAUGAGGCCAUUGGCUAAGAGCCCAUAAUUUAGAGGAAAUGAUUAGUCAAAGGAUGGACAGAGCAAAUAAAACUAUAAAAUGACUCAAGAAAUUCAACUGGUUUGACACCUAACACAUUACCACCAAAAGAAUGAGACUGAUUUCUAGUGGUCAUUAUAGAAAGAGGACUUAUAUGUGUUUGGAUUUUAACCAAACACAUAUAGAGAAAAUUUUUAUUAUGUGAUCAGCCAGAACUUAGACGGUCUUUGAGGAGGAAAAUUAAGAAGACGAAAGGGUAUGAAAAUACUAUGUGUUUGGAUUUUAACCAAAGAGGGGGGAAAUGAGUCUGUUCUUGCCAUCUCCAUCUUUUCUCCCUCCCUUUUUGACUCUCUGUGGGUGUGUGUUUAUGAAAAAUGGAGAGGAGGGGUCUCCGCCGCUUCUGAGAGGGAGAGCCAGGCAUAAAAAAUUAGGGUCAUCUCCUUAAUGGGUGUG